GUGAAAGCCAGCUCAGAUUUCAGAGUUCUCAGCUUUACUUUUUUUUUGGUAUCUUAAACAAUGGCAUCCCUAAAGGGAUUUGCAGCUUUGCUCAUUGCAUCACUUGUGCUUGUUCAUUUCACUUAUGCCCUUCAAGAGGUAAUUAGCGGCAAACCACCAGCACCAAGUCCUCAACCUCCAAAGCCAAUAGACUGUACGGGAUCUUGUAAAACGAGGUGCAGCAAAUCGUCACGGCAAAAUCUCUGCAACAGAGCAUGUGGAAGUUGCUGCCGUACCUGCCACUGCGUGCCACCAGGGACUUCUGGAAAUUACGAAGCAUGCCCUUGCUAUUUCAACCUUACUACUCAUAACAGCACCCGCAAAUGUCCUUAAAAAUUCAUAGCAUAAUUUUGUUCUUCGUCUGCAAAUUUAAAUGUACUAGUAUUUCUUAUUGAAUACUACUAUUAUAUUGUGUACUAUGAAACGUGAACUGUUGAUUUUGAAAUUUUAAGUGUAAAAUUGAAGGUUGAGAGUUUUCAGUGCAAUAUUAAAAUGGGUGGGUACUAUUAAAUUCAUUGACUCUGGUCGUCCCAUUUACUGUACACACAACUAAGUGAGCCAUUCU
RNAcentral lists this unclassified non-coding RNA (604 nucleotides) under Hevea brasiliensis (rubber tree). The record is from RNAcentral. Lineage: Eukaryota; Viridiplantae; Streptophyta; Magnoliopsida; Malpighiales; Euphorbiaceae.